UUGAUUGUAGGAAGUGGAACAACUAAGAAUGGAACGCCUGCAGAUCGAUGAACAGCUGCGACAGAUUGGUAUGGGUUUCAGACCUUCUUCCACCAGAGGGCCUGAAAAAGAGAAAGGAUAUGCCACUGAUGAAAGUACCGUCUCUUCUGUACAAGGUUCUAGGUCUUAUAGUGGAAGAGGCAGAGGUCGUCGGGGCCCUAAUUACACCUCCGGUUAUGCUUUGGAGUUGUUCCAUCUUUCUCCAUUUGGACUUGGAUAUUAGCUGUGACCUGAUCUCCUGCCCAUCCCUCUUCAUUUGCCUUUUCUGUUCUUUUCCUCUCUCCUCCCUAUGUCAUCUUGUUUUGAGAAAAUACUUGCGAACCUAGACCAAAGUAGGAAGCAUUUACAGAAAGUAGAGGUGAAUUGAGGUUUGCACCAUGCAGGUUCAGAUCUAGACUUCUUUUUAACUAAGGAAUCUAAUGAUGUAGUACACCGGUACUCUUUCACCUGUUGUGCAGGUGGAAGGCUAAGUAUCCCUUCUCUUUAGUACUGCAACUUUAUGUUCAAGUAUUUCAUUUCCUUGAUGUAUUUUUGUUUUCAUAACGUGGUAUUGAAGUUUGCAAAUA
RNAcentral lists this long non-coding RNA (605 nucleotides) under Rattus norvegicus (Norway rat). RNAcentral describes it as "long non-coding RNA NONRATT016330". The record is from RNAcentral. Lineage: Eukaryota; Metazoa; Chordata; Mammalia; Rodentia; Muridae.